AUUGAACGCUGGCGGCAUGCCUUACACAUGCAAGUCGAACGGCAGCGGACCUUCGGUGCCGGCGAGUGGCGAACGGGUGAGUAAUAUAUCGGAACGUACCUUUCAGUGGGGAGUAACGUAGCGAAAGUUAACGCUAAUACCGCAUAUUCUGUGAGCAGGAAAGACAGGGGAGUCGCAAGACCUUGCGCUGAUUGAGCGGCCGAUAUCAGAUUAGCUAGUUGGUGAGGUAAAGGGACUCACCAAGGCGACGAUCUGUAGCGGGUCGUGAGAGGAUGAUCCGCCACACUGGAACUGAGACACGGUCCAGACUCCUACGGGAGGCAGCAGUGGGGAAGUUUUA
RNAcentral lists this ribosomal RNA (340 nucleotides) under uncultured bacterium. RNAcentral's name for it is "bacterial SSU rRNA". It matches the Rfam family "Bacterial small subunit ribosomal RNA", at positions 30 to 367 of the family's 1533-position model. The record is from RNAcentral.